Leopardus geoffroyi (Geoffroy's cat) is the source of this 1007-nucleotide long non-coding RNA. RefSeq lists it as uncharacterized. The record is from RefSeq and is a predicted model, not a curated record. Lineage: Eukaryota; Metazoa; Chordata; Mammalia; Carnivora; Felidae. The transcript is spliced from 2 exons.
AGUGACCUUUCCUCGUGGCAGGACGAUGGCUACUCAGUGGUGCCGAUGAUGUGUUAGCACAGAGGUAUUCACGUGUGUGAGGGACUGUGGGGAAGUGACCACCUCCAGGCAUGACCACAUGUCUGGAGGCUCAGUGAAUCAGCAUCUCUGGGGCCUUGAGAAGGACACAGGCACUAAAGCUGGAACCCAAGGGGAGCCUGAUGUUAUAACCACAAUGUCAAGCCUUGAAUUGGGGCCAUGCAAGCCCGUGAGCGGGUUUCGCGUCUGUGCCUGGGACGUCGCUGGUCCAGGAGACAGAAGAACACACAGUGCAGAAUGGUGGCAGGCCAGAAUGCAAAGGGGGAUCCUCCAGUUGAAUGCUUGUGUUUUGAGGGUUUGGCACUGGGUCCGGACAAAGGGGACCCUUCUUCCAACAUGGAAUGACCUCUCAACAAAGCCACAGUUGCCCGUGGUCUGCUCAGCCCCAGUACACAGUGUGUGAACAUGAAACCCAGCUAUGUAUGCAUCUGAUAGGAACUCAAAAUAAUGUCCUUGGAGAUGAUGAAUUUGUGUCAACACUCUAUUAUAAAAUAAUUUGAAUGAAGGGACACAUGAAAAAAGAAAUGAAUUCAAAUGAGUAAGUACAUUUUAUAGAAACAGCUGCAAACAGCUAGAAAGAGCUUUUGGUGAUCCUUUUAUCAAACCAUCUGUCUCCAGAUAGAAUUGUCCCUGACAUGGAUCAGGUAUCUCACAUGAUUUCAAGCACUCCUUAUCCAUAGAACUUUCUAGAAGCACCUCACUCUCUUGAAUAUUUAUCUGCGAAUUAUUGUAAUGGGUAGAGACUUGAAAUGUCCAUUAAAAAGACGCCUAAGCAAAAUUAAUCUAUAGCAAUAGAAAUCAUAUCACUAACUUGCCAGAGAUGGAGAGAGGUGUUUGAAAGGAGCAUGAGGGGACUUUCUGGGCGAUAGAAAUGUUCUGUAUCUUAGUAGGGUGUGUAUUACAUGGGUACAUACAUAUAAAUUGCAAAA